This 1690-nucleotide ribosomal RNA is filed under the name Escherichia coli. RNAcentral describes it as "partial 23S ribosomal RNA". It matches the Rfam family "Bacterial large subunit ribosomal RNA", at positions 1269 to 2925 of the family's 2925-position model. Lineage: Bacteria; Pseudomonadati; Pseudomonadota; Gammaproteobacteria; Enterobacterales; Enterobacteriaceae. The record is from RNAcentral.
GUUGCUGGAGGUAUCAGAAGUGCGAAUGCUGACAUAAGUAACGAUAAAGCGGGUGAAAAGCCCGCUCGCCGGAAGACCAAGGGUUCCUGUCCAACGUUAAUCGGGGCAGGGUGAGUCGACCCCUAAGGCGAGGCCGAAAGGCGUAGUCGAUGGGAAACAGGUUAAUAUUCCUGUACUUGGUGUUACUGCGAAGGGGGGACGGAGAAGGCUAUGUUGGCCGGGCGACGGUUGUCCCGGUUUAAGCGUGUAGGCUGGUUUUCCAGGCAAAUCCGGAAAAUCAAGGCUGAGGCGUGAUGACGAGGCACUACGGUGCUGAAGCGACAAAUGCCCUGCUUCCAGGAAAAGCCUCUAAGCAUCAGGUAACAUCAAAUCGUACCCCAAACCGACACAGGUGGUCAGGUAGAGAAUACCAAGGCGCUUGAGAGAACUCGGGUGAAGGAACUAGGCAAAAUGGUGCCGUAACUUCGGGAGAAGGCACGCUGAUAUGUAGGUGAAGCGACUUGCUCGUGGAGCUGAAAUCAGUCGAAGAUACCAGCUGGCUGCAACUGUUUAUUAAAAACACAGCACUGUGCAAACACGAAAGUGGACGUAUACGGUGUGACGCCUGCCCGGUGCCGGAAGGUUAAUUGAUGGGGUUAGCGGUAACGCGAAGCUCUUGAUCGAAGCCCCGGUAAACGGCGGCCGUAACUAUAACGGUCCUAAGGUAGCGAAAUUCCUUGUCGGGUAAGUUCCGACCUGCACGAAUGGCGUAAUGAUGGCCAGGCUGUCUCCACCCGAGACUCAGUGAAAUUGAACUCGCUGUGAAGAUGCAGUGUACCCGCGGCAAGACGGAAAGACCCCGUGAACCUUUACUAUAGCUUGACACUGAACAUUGAGCCUUGAUGUGUAGGAUAGGUGGGAGGCUUUGAAGUGUGGACGCCAGUCUGCAUGGAGCCGACCUUGAAAUACCACCCUUUAAUGUUUGAUGUUCUAACGUGGGCCCCUUACCGGGGUUGCGGACAGUGUCUGGUGGGUAGUUUGACUGGGGCGGUCUCCUCCUAAAGAGUAACGGAGGAGCACGAAGGUUGGCUAAUCCUGGUCGGACAUCAGGAGGUUAGUGCAAUGGCAUAAGCCAGCUUGACUGCGAGCGUGACGGCGCGAGCAGGUGCGAAAGCAGGUCAUAGUGAUCCGGUGGUUCUGAAUGGAAGGGCCAUCGCUCAACGGAUAAAAGGUACUCCGGGGAUAACAGGCUGAUACCGCCCAAGAGUUCAUAUCGACGGCGGUGUUUGGCACCUCGAUGUCGGCUCAUCACAUCCUGGGGCUGAAGUAGGUCCCAAGGGUAUGGCUGUUCGCCAUUUAAAGUGGUACGCGAGCUGGGUUUAGAACGUCGUGAGACAGUUCGGUCCCUAUCUGCCGUGGGCGCUGGAGAACUGAGGGGGGCUGCUCCUAGUACGAGAGGACCGGAGUGGACGCAUCACUGGUGUUCGGGUUGUCAUGCCAAUGGCACUGCCCGGUAGCUAAAUGCGGAAGAGAUAAGUGCUGAAAGCAUCUAAGCACGAAACUUGCCCCGAGAUGAGUUCUCCCUGACUCCUUGAGAGUCCUGAAGGAACGUUGAAGACGACGACGUUGAUAGGCCGGGUGUGUAAGCGCAGCGAUGCGUUGAGCUAACCGGUACUAAUGAACCGUGAGGCUUAACCUUACAACGCCGAAG